Molecule: long non-coding RNA, 202 nt
Filed under: Capsella rubella
Lineage: Eukaryota; Viridiplantae; Streptophyta; Magnoliopsida; Brassicales; Brassicaceae
Description: long non-coding RNA (CRUB_LNC000367)
Source: RNAcentral
UCGAGUAGAGCUCUUCGGCCUUGUCCUAAGGAACUUCGGCCUCGGCUCUCCUUUGCUUCUUGUGUUUUCCGUGACAUGUCUUGUAUUAAUCGCGAGUUGACUUCCGGAUGUAUGGCUCCUUUACAUGACUUCUUCAUCCGGUUCAAUACUCCCCCUCAAGCUUAAGCGUAGAGAUAUCGAAGGUUGAGCUUGGAGAUAAANN